RNAcentral lists this ribosomal RNA (494 nucleotides) under uncultured bacterium. RNAcentral describes it as "partial 16S ribosomal RNA". It matches the Rfam family "Bacterial small subunit ribosomal RNA", at positions 28 to 507 of the family's 1533-position model. The record is from RNAcentral.
GACGAACGCUGGCGGCGUGCUUAACACAUGCAAGUCGAACGGAAAGGCCUGCUUUCCCUUGUGGAUUGCGGGUACUCGAGUGGCGAACGGGUGAGUAACACGUGAGUGAUCUGCCCCCAACUUGGGUAUAAGCCUGGGAAACUGGGUCUAAUUCCCGAUAGGACUGCAGGGUGGUGCCUGUGGUGGAAAACGAUGUUCUAGUGGUUGGGGAUGAGCUCGCGGCCUAUCAGCUUGUUGGUGGGGUAAUGGCCUACCAAGGCGGCGACGGGUAGCCGGCCUGAGAGGGUGGACGGCCACAUUGGGACUGGGAUCCGGCCCAGACUCCUACGGGAGGCAGCAGUGGGGAAUAUUGCACAGUGGGCGGAAGCCUGAUGCAGCGACGCCGCGUGGGGGAUGACGGCCUUCGGGUUGUAACCUCCUUUCGACCGCGAGGAAGCCACCUGGUUGGAAGGGUGGUGACGGUAGUGGUAGAAGAAGCACCGGCUAACUACGUG